RNAcentral lists this ribosomal RNA (274 nucleotides) under uncultured bacterium. RNAcentral describes it as "partial 16S ribosomal RNA". It matches the Rfam family "Bacterial small subunit ribosomal RNA", at positions 523 to 796 of the family's 1533-position model. The record is from RNAcentral.
AUACGGAGGGUCCGAGCGUUAUUCGGAAUCAUUGGGUUUAAAGGGUCCGUAGGCGGGAAUCUAAGUCAGUGGUGAAAUCUUGCAGCUCAACUGUAAAAUUGCCAUUGAUACUGGAUUUCUUGAAUUAGUGUGAAGUGGUUAGAAUGUGUAGUGUAGCGGUGAAAUGCAUAGAUAUUACACAGAAUACCAAUUGCGAAGGCAGAUCACUAACACUAUAUUGACGCUAAGGGACGAAAGCGUGGGGAGCGAACAGGAUUAGAAACCCCGGUAGUCC